Molecule: unclassified non-coding RNA, 1543 nt
Filed under: Hevea brasiliensis (rubber tree)
Lineage: Eukaryota; Viridiplantae; Streptophyta; Magnoliopsida; Malpighiales; Euphorbiaceae
Source: RNAcentral
AAAAAUUCCUAUUUCUAUAGGCUGCAAUUUACUUGACAAAAUAUCUGUUGGGUGAUUGGAAAUUACCUUUACUCCACUAAGGAGAGAGCAUAUCUGAAAUGAUUAUGGGAUUUCCUUUUCAUCCUAUCUUUCUCUUUCUCUGUUACCUUUCUUUGGUAAAGAAAUAAUUGAAGGUAGACAAUUUUAAACUUUGCUUCUUCAUCCUCUUGCCUCUUAAUAUCACCCAAUUGCCUAUAUUUCAUUUGUUCCUUUCUCCUUCCUUACAAAUAAAUUGCUGGCUUACUUGUUCUGAUUGAACUUGUGUUCUCUAAUCUUGGUUUUAUUUUUGUGUUAUAGACUCCAACAAUUUUCAGGCAAAGAUCGAUGAAGAAAUCUCCGGUAUAUCCAAACUACGAGGCAAGUGAUUAUGGUGGCUAUGAGUUUGAUCCUCAAGUGGAUUUUACGCAGGUAAACACCUGUAUGCACUUUUAUUUCUCCUCUGGCUCUAUGUUUUUCUUGUCUGCCACCUUACUUUCUUUUUGUUGGAGCAACUACAGUAUCUUCAAAUAACAGUUAACAGAAUUUAAUCACAUUAUCAAUGAAUACCCAUAAUUCUCUCUUCACAAGAAGGAAAAGUACUUGUUUGUUGCAUAUGCUAAUGAAUCAUUAUUGUCUCAACUUUUUGAUGUGAUAUGAAGACAGACCAUAGAUGUACUCUGCUGCUGUUUGAACUAUUCUGAUUUUGAUGUUUCAAUGAUGUUGUACCAUUUACUUGGAGGCAUGUCCAAGUAGUAGUUGGCAUAGAGUGGACACAUGGAAGGCUUCCUAGAGGGUCUUCUACAAGUUACUUUGUUCAUUUUAUCUGUUUUUGUGGGUUGAUCAGUUCUUGGAAGAAGCAAGGCAGCAUGCAAGACAAAUGAAUCUCCAGACCUCACUGCCGCAUGCUGAAAAAGCUGGAAUAAUAAGAACAGGAGAAGAGAAAAAGAACAAAAAAUCCUGGAAAAAGUCUCUUCUCAAAUGGUGGAAAUCUGAAAAUAAAAGGAGUGAGGCUCGCACAGAACCUGCAAAUAGCUCUCAUAGUUCGAAUCCAAGAAAGGGACAUGUUUCUGGUCCAAUACAUGGGAGCAGCAGGGCUGUUGACACAAAGCACCGACGACAGACAUCUGGGCCACUUACUAACCUGUUCAAUCCUACAAAGAAAAGAGGGAAUGAGAUACCAUACAUGUGCCUUGAUCAACUUAACAAUCCUCACGGUGACAAAGCCUAUGGACCUGUUUACUUGGUGACAUAAGUGUUUCGACAACAAAAAUGUACAAGGGAAAAGUUUUUCUGGUGGAGAAUGGGGAAUUAUUGUGGAAAGAAGGUGCAUAAGAUCAUUUGAAUAGGCAGAAACAUUCAGUAUCAGACCAGCUGUAAUGUGCAUACAGUUGGAUUAUCUUAAAGAUCUUGUGCUGAAGAUUAUCUGUUCUUUCUGUUGUUGUUUACUUAGUUACAUGUAAUGUUCAGAAUAACUAUUAUGUGUGGUCUAAUGAAUUUUUAAUCUCACAUUUCUGCUUUCUUGGCG